Dermochelys coriacea (leatherback sea turtle) is the source of this 174-nucleotide long non-coding RNA. RefSeq lists it as uncharacterized. The transcript has 3 exons. The record is from RefSeq and is a predicted model, not a curated record. Lineage: Eukaryota; Metazoa; Chordata; Testudines; Dermochelyidae.
UAGCAAAAUGAAGCUGGAGGUGGGGAGCUACCUUUUAUGGACACCCGGCCAGCCAGUUAGCUAUAAAGUCCCUCUUGGUGGCUGCUUGCUUUACCUGUAAAGGGUUAAAAAGUUCCCCAGGUAAAGAAAAGGGAGUGGACCCCUGACCAAAAGAGCCAAUGGGAAGGCUAGAAC